This 229-nucleotide unclassified non-coding RNA is filed under the name Hevea brasiliensis (rubber tree). The record is from RNAcentral. Lineage: Eukaryota; Viridiplantae; Streptophyta; Magnoliopsida; Malpighiales; Euphorbiaceae.
GUUGAACGGCUCAUAUGUGGUUCCAAGGCAUCCAGAGGAUAUGGAGGAGGCUUCAGGUCAAACUUCGCAGUGAUUUUGGUGAGACAAGUCUUUGAAACAUGUUGUUUCUGUUUGUUUGAGGUAGAAGAAAUGGCGGAUGGUGGGAGUGGGGUUCCGCGGAAGCUAGAACGGGGAAGUUGAUUUUGGUGCAGUUUAGUGGAAGGUAGCAUAGCGAUAGAUGCCAUAUCCG